UUUUAUAUAGUUUAUUUAAAACAUUAUAUUUUCAAUAUAAAAUUAUUAAUAUUUUAUUUAUAAAAA
RNAcentral lists this transfer RNA (66 nucleotides) under Nomada goodeniana. RNAcentral describes it as "tRNA-Glu". Lineage: Eukaryota; Metazoa; Arthropoda; Insecta; Hymenoptera; Apidae. The record is from RNAcentral.